UCUCAAACCUACACCUGAGCAGGAGGCUCCGUGGGUGUGAGGAGCUGCCAGGAGCUGGGAGAAUCUUCCCAGCUGAGAAUUAUGGAAGAACAUCUUCAUUUCCCAGCCGAGUGUUUUCCUGGCUUCAGGUGAGAUUCUCCACUUUAAUGAAGCCUUUGGCUGAUGGGGGGAGAAGGAUGGAGUCACAUUUCUCUGUGGUUUCCAGGAGAAUAGGAGGGAAUACCAAACUCCUCUCCAAAACUCAGAGAGCUCAGUAGGCUGAAAUAACCUGAUGGAAACCCACAGAUCACCCAACCAAACCAGCUGAAACCAAACACCCUUAGCAGCAAUUUCUAAAGAGAAAACAUUGAAGACUUUGAGGAACUCACAUAAAUUCCUGCUGGAUCCACGUAAGUUCUGGAUGUGAGGGCUCCUGGCUUGGAGAAAAGGGGGAACACUCAAAUCCCGGGGGCAGAUAUUCGAGUUCCUGACUCUGUUUUGGUAAGAGAAGGAAAAAUGAUGCUCCUGCUUGAGGAAGUGCUGGUGAUCCAGAAUUCAGAAUAGCAGUCAUUAAUAAAUAAUAGGGGAGUUGUGAAGAAAAUUAAUUUUUCAAGGACUCUGAAGAACAUCUUUGGAGCUGAGGUCUGGAACCGGCAGGAGCUACAGCGUUCAUCUCACUGCACAUUGAUCAGAGGUUUGGUCAUUGUGCUUCUAAAAUGUCUUUUGCAGCUGGUCUGAUAUUAAUGAAUUGGUUUGGAGCAAUGCUUUCCACUGGUUUGUAGAAAAAGAAGGAAAAUGGUGAUUUGUUCUACCAGACUGCCAGUUUGUUAUGGCUGAUGUGUUUGUAAUGUGGGUUUGUCCUGCUUUUGCAUCUCUUUAUCAAGGACUGACUAACAAUUCUUCCUAACAGCUUUUUGGGUGAUUUUGGCAUCUAUUUUUGCCCAGAAAUCUCCUCAUCCUUCCCUUUCAGCAUCCCCUCAAAUCCCUCUCCGUGCUCAGACACUUGAGGACAAGCUGUGGCCAUUGUGUAAGUGCAGAGCACAAUCCAAAUGGAAAUGGAAACAAUUAAAUAUACAUGACAAGCAGGUAUUUAGACGAGCCUGGAUUUCUUAAUGGUUCAUUUCCACCUUUCAGCUAAAUUAAAUGUUGCUUUCAUCUAUUUUUAAAGGAAUGACUAUUUUUGGUCAGGAGCUGCCCUGCUCCAUCUGCUCCUGAGAUGGUUUUGCUUCAUCCCAAGGACAGCCCCACUGGCUGUGUCAAAACCAGGGGGUUUUUAUGGCACCAUGGGUGAGGAUUCACACAAACCAGGGCUCUGCUACCUCCAGGACCCUUUGGAAAGUCAAGUCCUCUGUAAUUAAUGACUGAUCCUAUUAAUGACAUGGUCCUGGCACUUAUGGGAUGGAUUUUGGGACCUGCUUCUCCCAGUGCCUCUCAGCAGCUGGAAGCUUUGGGGGGCUUUGAAUGCUGCCUGUAUCAAACCCAUUCCUGGUAAUCCAAGACCCAGCCUGUGCAUCCUGAAAUUCCCAUAUCCUGGAAUUCUGCUUCCAUUCCCAUAUCUCUGGCUGGAAUUCAGCUUCCAUUCCCAUAUCUAUGGCUGGAAUUCUGCUUCCAUUCCCAUAUAAAUGGCUGGAAUUCUGCUUCCAUUCCCAUAUUUAUUGCUGGAAUUCUGCUUCCAUUCCCAUAUAAAUGGCUGAGGAGGAUGAUAGGAACUGCUCAAGGGGCUCUUGGCAGUCUCUCUGCUCCCAUCUUGGGAAUCUCAUUGUCUGAAAACCAGGGGCUGGGAAAACAAAAACUUAAGGGUUUUUUGCCUUUUAAUGACAGGUGAAAUGAGGGGAAUAAUGAGAGAAAAAAUGACUGUGAAAUGUAGCAUGUGGAGAAGAUAUUUUCAUAUCCCUCUCUCUUUUGUGUGGCUCAAGAGGACGUGGAUCAUGGAUCUGUCUCCUUCGAUAUAACAGCUGCUGGGAUUGGAAUUUUGGGGGAGAUGUCAUGGAUUCAGACCCCCACAGGCAGGAUGGGUGCAGGUAUGGAUGCCCUGCUGCCCUCAGGCAUUCCUGGCUCCACAGCCUCUCCAGAGGCAGAACCUCUGCUGUAAUUCCCAGGCUGGGAGACGAAUAUUCCUUCCCACCAGUCCGCAUCGAUCGGGGCAGCGCUGCCCUUUUGUUUUGUGCUGAACAACCCAGUGUUUGGAAUUGAGACCUGUCAGGAGCUGAGGGACUUAACAGAGCAACGGGAGCCAUAAAUUUCCCAGGAAUUCACGCCAUGGUUAACGCUGGGGAGGAACAGGCUGCACACAAACUGCCCUGCCAUGCAAAUGCCGAUCGAUGCGCUGACAAAUAUCCUGCUGCAUCCUGCUGCCUCACUCGAUAUUUCUUCAAACAGACGGAAUUUAGGGGGCAGGGAAAGGCAGAACGUUCCACCUGAAGUGGUGCACGGAUGGGAGGUAUAGUGGAACUAAUCAGGAGUGGAUGGAUGAGCUUUGUGGCUGCCUCGCUGUUUAUUUCAUAUAUCUGCUGCUAAACUGUAUUCAAAGGGCUCUAAUGGAAAGGGGGCCUUGCUUGACAUGUAAAACACCUUUUUUCCAGUCUUUUUCUAGAGAAAAAUCCAGGAAUUGACAGGGAUCUAGGUCAAUACAUUGAUGCAGGAAACAAGGAAGCCCCCUCCAGCAGUUUCCCCUCAAGCCCCAUGACUCCAGCAGGCAUUGCCCGGCAUCUCCACCCUUCCACAGGGCUCUUCUGGAGCACCCAGCUCUUUGUGGUGCCAACCAAACUCUGCCUGCAGAUGUCCCUCAGCUCCUCAGGUGCCUCCAGCUCUCUGUCCUCUGCCACUGUCACCCAGCUCAGCCUCAACACCCCCGGCUCCUCUCUGCUGGAGCAGAAGAUGGCCCUGCAGAGGGGCAGAGCCUUCCAGAGGUGAUGGCCAAAGUGUUUUAAUGCUGGGUGUCUUUGCUGGUUGGUGUUGGAGAGUUGGGAAAACCAGGAAAAAGGAGAUAAUUGAUGUGCAGAAGGAACUCUAAAGCAGGGUGCCCACAGAAGCUGUGGCUGCCCCACCCUGGGCUGGAUGGCACCUGGGAUGGUGGAAGGUGUCAGGGGUGGGACUGGAAGAGCUGUAGGUGGAGGGGACUCCCCCACUUUUGGACACUCCAGGAGGGAGCUGG
Long non-coding RNA from Parus major (Great Tit), 3133 nucleotides. RefSeq lists it as uncharacterized. Lineage: Eukaryota; Metazoa; Chordata; Aves; Passeriformes; Paridae. The record is from RefSeq and is a predicted model, not a curated record. The transcript is spliced from 3 exons.